GAUGAAGAACGUAGUGAAAUGCGAUAAGUAGUGUGAAUUGCAGAAUUCAGUGAAUCAUCGAAUCUUUGAAUGCACAUUGCGCCCCUUGGUAUCCCGAGGGGCAUGCCUGUUCGAGCGUCAUUUCACCACUCAAGCCUGGCUUGGUGUUGGGCGACGUCCCCUUUAGGGACGCGCCUCGAAACGCUCGGCGGCGCGGCACCGGCUUUAAGCGUAGCAGAAUCUUUCGCUUUGGAAGUCGGGGCCCCGCCUGCCGGAAUACCUACUUGUAAGGUUGACCUCGGAUCAGGCAGGGAUACCCGCUGAACUUAAGCAUAUCAAUAAGCGGAGGA
This 329-nucleotide unclassified non-coding RNA is filed under the name soil metagenome. Its description in RNAcentral is "partial contains 5.8S ribosomal RNA, internal transcribed spacer 2, and large subunit ribosomal RNA". The stretch from base 1 to 120 matches the Rfam family "5.8S ribosomal RNA", at positions 35 to 154 of the family's 154-position model. The record is from RNAcentral.